UACGUAGGGUGCAAGCGUUGUCCGGAAUUAUUGGGCGUAAAGAGCUCGUAGGCGGUUUGUCGCGUCUGCUGUGAAAACGCGAGGCUCAACCUCGCGCCUGCAGUGGGUACGGGCAGACUAGAGUGUGGUAGGGGAGACUGGAAUUCCCAGUGUAGCGGUGAAAUGCGUAGAUAUUGGGAGGAACACCAGUGGCGAAGGCGGCAUCCUGGACCAAUUCUGACGCUGAGGAGCGAAAGCCAGGGGAGCAAACGGG
Molecule: ribosomal RNA, 253 nt
Filed under: uncultured bacterium
Lineage: Bacteria
Description: partial 16S ribosomal RNA
Rfam family: Bacterial small subunit ribosomal RNA
Source: RNAcentral